UCGUAGGCGCCUUGCGCCUC
Molecule: small RNA, 20 nt
Filed under: Bombyx mori (domestic silkworm)
Lineage: Eukaryota; Metazoa; Arthropoda; Insecta; Lepidoptera; Bombycidae
Description: ovarian small RNA-29149
Source: RNAcentral